GACGAACGCUGGCGGCGUGCUUAAUACAUGCAAGUCGAACGAUCCCGAGCUUCGGCUCAAUGGGAGAGUGGCGAACGGGUGAGUAUCACGUGAGAAACCUGCCUCGGAGAUGGGGAUAGCCCAGGGAAACCUGGAUUAAUACCCAAUAUUCUGACAGCACCGCAUGGUGCAGUCAGGAAAGGUUCCGGCGCUCCGGGAGGGUCUCGCGGCCUAUCAGCUUGUUGGUGAGGUAAUGGCUCACCAAGGCAUCGACGGGUAGCUGGUCUGAGAGGACGAUCAGCCACACUGGGACUGAGACACGGCCCAGACUCCUACGGGAGGCAGCAGUAGGGAAUCUUGCGCAAUGGGCGAAAGCCUGACGCAGCAACGCCGCGUGGGGGAAGAAGGCUCUCGGGUCGUAAACCCCUUUCAGCAGGGACGAAAAUGACGGUACCUGCAGAAGAAGGACCGGCCAACUACG
This 460-nucleotide ribosomal RNA is filed under the name uncultured Acidimicrobiales bacterium. RNAcentral describes it as "bacterial SSU rRNA". It matches the Rfam family "Bacterial small subunit ribosomal RNA", at positions 28 to 505 of the family's 1533-position model. Lineage: Bacteria; Bacillati; Actinomycetota; Acidimicrobiia; Acidimicrobiales. The record is from RNAcentral.